This 816-nucleotide long non-coding RNA is filed under the name Heterocephalus glaber (naked mole-rat). RNAcentral describes it as "lncRNA (ENSHGLG00000033177.1)". The record is from RNAcentral. Lineage: Eukaryota; Metazoa; Chordata; Mammalia; Rodentia; Bathyergidae.
GUUUUUCUGCCUCUGUCCAUAAGGGAUAUUGACCUGUGAUUUUGUUUAUUUUUUCUUCUGAUGCUUUGUCUGAUUUUGGAAUUUGCAUAAAGCUCUGCCAGCAGCCUUCGUAUGAGAGGAAACUGAUGCUAGAAGAAACUGCAGCAUUCACUCCCCAAGGGCCAACAUCAAUUCUGCCUGGCUGGAUGACUUUCCUCAUCUGUUGCAUAGCAACCUCCCCUGUCAGCUGCCUGUUUUUCCUCAGCCCUUCCUCUGUACAGUGUCUGCAGUGGGAUGUAAUCAGACUCAAGAAAGGAGGUCUGAAAUAUCAUUUUUAUAUGCUACUUCCAAUUUUGUAUAUGCAAUCCUGACGACCUAAAACAUUUAGACCCAUAUCCACCUACCUGCCUCCAUGCUGUUGGAUAUUCCUUUAUACUCUGAAAAUGAAAAUGUCUCAGACUGAUCUUUUGUGUCAAAUCCCUCUAACAAAUAUCAUGUAUUUGUUCUCUUGACUUCUCCCAGACAUCAAAUACCAUCCAAGAGCAUUCAGAUCCUCAAGUCAGAAACUUACAAGUUGUCCAUCACCACUCCCUUUACCUCAUUUUUUUUUCCUGUAUCCAAAUUGCUACCAAAUCCUGAAUAUUCUACCUCAAAUUUAUACCAACAUCACUCCCUUUCCAUCAUCCAAGUUUAGGCCAUUAUUGUCUAGAACCUAGCCUACUGACUGUGUCUCUUAACUGCUCUCCGAGCUUCAAUUUUUCUUACUACAGUCAGUUCUACAGAGAGUUAUCUUAAAAUGGAAACGAAACCAUGACAUUUCCCUGUUUAAAUGUCCCA